This 514-nucleotide long non-coding RNA is filed under the name Manihot esculenta (cassava). Its description in RNAcentral is "long non-coding RNA (MESC_LNC008286)". Lineage: Eukaryota; Viridiplantae; Streptophyta; Magnoliopsida; Malpighiales; Euphorbiaceae. The record is from RNAcentral.
AUUAAGCCAAUUAUCAAUUGAUGAACAAUGAUCCACGAGUGGAUCACAACCGUUCAAUUACAGCAAUAUAUCAAAAUUUGAAUACAUUCAACUUCUUCACAAUUUAGUUGUGAACAAAAUAGAAUGGAAAUUUAUCAUUUGCGAGGCUUGCAGAGAGAGAGAGAGAGAGUAAAUACUAUAAAGAGGAAUUGUCAUUACAAUUUCAUCAUGUUGCAUCUGCAGUGUGGACCGGAAGCAAAAAUUUACUUUGCAUGGUGUGCAAUACCAAAACUUGGUAAUGCCAUUGCUCAACUAAAACAGAAAUUUCAAGCAUGUGAAGGCAUUGUGUUCAUGACUAACCUCAUCAAUUUUCUAUCAUUUUCAUAAACAGGCAUAAAACACGGGAUUCCCUGCCAAACUGAAAUUUACUUUACAGGAGGGUUUUAUAUUCAAUAACGCAAAAGACUAAAUAUAGCAUCUCUCUUCAUCAGUCUACCUUUCCCAAAUGCAGUCUAAUGAAUAAACUGCAAACCCA